Molecule: ribosomal RNA, 262 nt
Filed under: uncultured bacterium
Lineage: Bacteria
Description: partial 16S ribosomal RNA
Rfam family: Bacterial small subunit ribosomal RNA
Source: RNAcentral
UGAGUGGCGGACGGGUGAGUAACGCGUGGGCAACCUGGCCUGUACAGGGGGAUAACACUUAGAAAUAGGUGCUAAUACCGCAUAACGGGAGAAGCCGCAUUGGCUUUUUCCUGAAAACUCCGGUGGUACAGGAUGGGCCCGCGUCUGAUUAGCCAGUUGGCAGGGUAACGGCCUACCAAAGCGACGAUCAGUAGCCGGCCUGAGAGGGCGGACGGCCACACUGGGACUGAGACACGGCCCAGACUCCUACGGGAGGCAGCAG